GACGAACGCUGGCGGCGUGCUUAACACAUGCAAGUCGAACGGAAAGGCCCUGCUUUUGUGGGGUGCUCGAGUGGCGAACGGGUGAGUAACACGUGAGUAACCUGCCCUUGACUUUGGGAUAACUUCGGGAAACUGGGGCUAAUACCGGAUAGGAGCUCCUGCUGCAUGGUGGGGGUUGGAAAGUUUCGGCGGUUGGGGAUGGACUCGCGGCUUAUCAGCUUGUUGGUGGGGUAGUGGCUUACCAAGGCUUUGACGGGUAGCCGGCCUGAGAGGGUGACCGGCCACAUUGGGACUGAGAUACGGCCCAAACUCCUACGGGAGGCAGCAGUGGGGAAUAUUGCACAAUGGGCGGAAGCCUGAUGCAGCAACGCCGCGUGCGGGAUGACGGCCUUCGGGUUGUAAACCGCUUUCGCCUGUGACGAAGCGUGAGUGACGGUAAUGGGUAAAGAAGCACCGGCUAACUACGUG
Molecule: ribosomal RNA, 468 nt
Filed under: uncultured bacterium
Lineage: Bacteria
Description: partial 16S ribosomal RNA
Rfam family: Bacterial small subunit ribosomal RNA
Source: RNAcentral